This 468-nucleotide ribosomal RNA is filed under the name uncultured bacterium. Its description in RNAcentral is "bacterial SSU rRNA". It matches the Rfam family "Bacterial small subunit ribosomal RNA", at positions 28 to 484 of the family's 1533-position model. The record is from RNAcentral.
GAUGAACGCUAGCUACAGGCUUAACACAUGCAAGUCGAGGGGCAGCGGGAUUGAAGCUUGCUUCAAUUGCCGGCGACCGGCGCACGGGUGAGUAACGCGUAUCCAACCUUCCGUACACUCAGGGAUAGCCUUUCGAAAGAAAGAUUAAUACCUGAUGGUAUGAUGAGAUCGCAUGGUAUCAUCAUUAAAGNUUUAUCGGUGUACGAUGGGGAUGCGUUCCAUUAGGUAGUAGGCGGGGUAACGGCCCACCUAGCCUACGAUGGAUAGGGGUUCUGAGAGGAAGGUCCCCCCACAUUGGAACUGAGACACGGGUCCAAACUCCUACGGGAGGCAGCAGUGAGGAAUAUUGGGUCAAUGGACGAGAGUCUGAACCAGCCAAGUAGCGUGCAGGAUGACGGCCCUAUGGGUUGUAAACUGCUUUUAUAAGGGAUAAAGUGAGUCUCGUGAGACUUUUUGCAUGUACCUAUG